Manihot esculenta (cassava) is the source of this 640-nucleotide long non-coding RNA. RefSeq lists it as uncharacterized. Lineage: Eukaryota; Viridiplantae; Streptophyta; Magnoliopsida; Malpighiales; Euphorbiaceae. The transcript is spliced from 3 exons. The record is from RefSeq and is a predicted model, not a curated record.
UAACUUAACCUAAUUCCUCUCAAUUCCUUUUCUUGACCUAAUUUACUCUCAAUCUUAACAACUGACAAGUGUAAUCAAUAAUUAUCAAACCCUAAGUUUCAAUCGAUCAUAUAUCCACUCUGAUUUCCUCAAUUAUUCACUGAAAGGUAAGUGAAAUCACAUUGUCGUGCAUUGGAGUGAGUUGAAAUUUGGUGUCUCCAUUGUCGUGCAUUGCAAGGUAUUACAUAGCAAAUUUGCAAGAGAAAUUAGACCAAAUAUGAUGGACAGUUCAUCACAACCUAUACCAAGAAUGAAAAUGACAAAGAGGGUCCAGCCAUUUAAAGCUCCAAGGCAAACAGAAAGUGGACAUCAAUGAAAGUGGAUAGAAGAGGGUCCAACCAUUUUGCAUUUUGAGAGUUCCUAAGCUGAUUGUUCACAAUCUGUUCACAUUUUGCAUUUUGAUAGUCUUUGAGGUGAUUUUUCACAAGUUGAAGUUGACAGAUUAUGAAACUUUUACAACUUACAACCAUAUAUUUUGGAUGGAUACCAUUUUGUAAAGACAUAUAUUGUUAAGUAAUUUUGAAUUAGAUGGAUGUGCAUAUGAAAAUUGUGCUUAUUCUGUAAAAAGAUGUGGAUAUCAACAUUUUCCACAUCAAUAUAU